RNAcentral lists this ribosomal RNA (432 nucleotides) under Poa annua. RNAcentral describes it as "eukaryotic LSU rRNA". The stretch from base 294 to 432 matches the Rfam family "Eukaryotic large subunit ribosomal RNA", at positions 1 to 139 of the family's 3401-position model. Lineage: Eukaryota; Viridiplantae; Streptophyta; Magnoliopsida; Poales; Poaceae. The record is from RNAcentral.
UCCCGCGAACCAUCGAGUCUUUGAACGCAAGUUGCGCCUGAGGCCACUUGGCCGAGGGCACGCCUGCUUGGGCGUCACGUCAAACACGCUCCCACCACUCAUCGGGAAGUGGGACGCGGCAUGUGGCCCCCCGUUUCGCAAGGUACGGUGGGCCUAAGAUGUGGCUGCCGGCCUAUCGUGCCGGACACAGCGCGUGGUGGGCGAUCUCGCUUUACUUACCGCAGUGCAUACGGACCGUAGCCGAUGUUAUGGCCUUAAGGACCCAAAGAACGGAGCACUUGAUGCUUCGACCGCGACCCCAAGUCAGGCGGGACUACCCGCUGAGUUUAAGCAUAUAAAUAAGCGGAGGAGAAGAAACUUACAAGGAUUCCCCUAGUAACGGCGAGCGAACCGGGAUCAGCCCAGCUUGAGAAUCGGGCGGCCUUGCUGUCC